UCACAGGAUUACCCCAGGUUGCAGUGAGCAGAGGUCUGGAGUGGGGUGGCAUCUAUGCAGGUCUACACGAUGCAUGCUGCAGGACUGGAGGUAGAUUUGGAUACUGGCAUCCUGUCUGGAAGCUUGUGCUGUCAACUGGCUAACUGGCUAACUGAAUUCAGAGUAGAAUAGGUGUAUUUUCAUCAUACAAAGAUGAGCAGUCAUCGAACACCAAUAAGCACUUUCACUGGACUCUCGAAAAGCCACCACAGAAGGGUAGCAUGGGGGAGAGAAUGGUACUUGGAAGGAAGGACGAUGACGGGAGAGCAGAAAGAGGAGGUGAGGAGGCAGCAGGAAGAGUGGAGUUGGGGAAGAGAGGUAGAAAAGCUGUCUGAAGUAUUUCACAGUGUCCUGCUUGACCUUCAAACAGAUCGGAGACCAUCACGUAAUAGAAAGAAGUGGAGAUCCUACUUGUACCCAGAAAUAGCCUAUCCUAUCACAGAGAAAACUGGACACUGGGUUGUGUCCAGACGCAUAGUGUGUCCCUGACAUUUGUGCUUGAAUGCGUGUCGCCACCAAUGUGCUUGGUUGCAUGUGAAAUUUAGCUAGAAGACACCUACUGCAAGAUGAGCUCCUAGAUUCAGUUUUUGGUAGUACUGCAUCACUUCACUGCAUCAGGAAUAGCUUAAGAGGGAUUCCUUUCAUUGUUAUUGUACUUUGCCUGAGGACAGAAAAGUAUUACCUUUCUUCUCCUCCUCCC
Molecule: long non-coding RNA, 739 nt
Filed under: Anas platyrhynchos platyrhynchos (common mallard)
Lineage: Eukaryota; Metazoa; Chordata; Aves; Anseriformes; Anatidae
Description: lncRNA (ENSAPLG00000024598.1)
Source: RNAcentral